ACGGGAGGCAGCAGUUGGGAAUAUUGCACAAUGGGGGCAACCCUGACGCAGCAACGCCGCAUGCGGGACGGAGGGCUUCGGCCCGUAAACCGCUUUCAGCAGGGAAGACAUCGACGGUACCUGCAGAAGAAGCUCCGGCUAACUACGUGCCAGCAGCCGCGGUAAUACGUAGGGGGCGAGCGUUAUCCGGAUUCAUUGGGCGUAAAGCGCGCGUAGGCGGCCGCCUAAGCGGAGUUUCUAACCUUGGGGCUCAACCUCAAGCCGGACUCCGAACUGGGCGGCCCGAGUGCGGUAGGGGCAGGCGGAAUUCCACGUGUAGCGGUGAAAUGCGCAGAUAUGUGGAGGAACACCGAUGGCGAAGGCAGCCUGCUGGGCCGCCACUGACGCUGAGGCGCGAAAGCUGGGGGAGCGAACAGGAUUAGAUACCCUGGUA
This 433-nucleotide ribosomal RNA is filed under the name uncultured Adlercreutzia sp. Its description in RNAcentral is "partial 16S ribosomal RNA". It matches the Rfam family "Bacterial small subunit ribosomal RNA", at positions 341 to 792 of the family's 1533-position model. The record is from RNAcentral. Lineage: Bacteria; Bacillati; Actinomycetota; Coriobacteriia; Eggerthellales; Eggerthellaceae.